UACGUAGGGCGCAAGCGUUGUCCGGAAUUAUUGGGCGUAAAGAGCUCGUAGGCGGCUUGUCACGUCGGGUGUGAAAGCCCGGGGCUUAACCCCGGGUCUGCAUUCGAUACGGGCUAGCUAGAGUGUGGUAGGGGAGAUCGGAAUUCCUGGUGUAGCGGUGAAAUGCGCAGAUAUCAGGAGGAACACCGGUGGCGAAGGCGGAUCUCUGGGCCACUACUGACGCUGAGGAGCGAAAGCGUGGGGAGCGAACAGG
This 253-nucleotide ribosomal RNA is filed under the name uncultured bacterium. Its description in RNAcentral is "partial 16S ribosomal RNA". It matches the Rfam family "Bacterial small subunit ribosomal RNA", at positions 524 to 776 of the family's 1533-position model. The record is from RNAcentral.